GAUCCUGGUUCAGAUUGAACGCUGGCGGCAGGCUUAACACAUGCAAGUCGAACGGUAACAUAAAGAAGCUUGCUUCUUUGAUGACGAGUGGCGGACGGGUGGGUAAUGCUUGGGAAUCUGGCUUAUGGAGGGGGGAUAACUACGGGAAACUGUAGCUAAUACCGCGUAAUAUCGAAAGAUUAAAGUGUGGGACCUUCGGGCCACAUGCCAUAGGAUGAGCCCAAGUGGGAUUAGGUAGUUGGUGAGGUAAGGG
Molecule: ribosomal RNA, 253 nt
Filed under: uncultured bacterium
Lineage: Bacteria
Description: partial 16S ribosomal RNA
Rfam family: Bacterial small subunit ribosomal RNA
Source: RNAcentral